UACGUAGGGGGCAAGCGUUGUCCGGAAUCAUUGGGCGUAAAGCGCGCGUAGGUGGCCAUGUAAGUCCGCUGUGAAAGUCAAAGGCUCAACCUUUGAAAGCCGGUGGAUACUGCAUGGCUAGAGUACGGAAGAGGCGAGUGGAAUUCCUGGUGUAGCGGUGGAAUGCGCAGAUAUCAGGAGGAACACCAAUAGCGAAGGCAGCUCGCUGGGACGUUACUGACACUGAGGCGCGAAAGCGUGGGGAGCGAACAGG
RNAcentral lists this ribosomal RNA (253 nucleotides) under uncultured bacterium. RNAcentral's name for it is "partial 16S ribosomal RNA". It matches the Rfam family "Bacterial small subunit ribosomal RNA", at positions 524 to 776 of the family's 1533-position model. The record is from RNAcentral.